AUUAGAGUAGUAUGUUAUAAUUAGGAUUUGCGAGUUGUGACAUUACUUCUUUCCAAAUAAUGUGACUCGCAUGGUUUAUUGAUUCGCGGUGCACUGUGGGUAACACGCUGGUUGUCGCCAUUUUCUACUCGUCGAAGUAAGAACAGGAGCAUAUCAUGUCAAGAUACAGGGAUCAAGGCACAGACACGAAGAUUUAUGUUGGAGACCUGCCUAAAGAUGCAUCUGAGAAAGAAAUAGAUCGCCACUUCAGUUAUUACGGACGUUUACGAAAUGUAUGGGUGGCAAGAAAUCCCCCAGGUUUUGCUUUUGUUGAGUUUGAAGACCCACGGGAUGCUGAGGAUGCUGUGAGAGCACUUGAUGGAACAACUGUGUGUGGUGCAAGAGUGCGUGUUGAACACUCCACUGGAAAAGUGCGCCCUAAACCAUGGCUGAGAGGCAGUGGUGGUGGCGGCGGCAGCGGAGGUGGUGGUGGUGGUGGAGGUGGUGGUGGUGGUGGUCGAGGACCUCCACGUCCCAGGAAACAGUUCCACCCAGAAGACCGAUGCUAUGAGUGUGGAGACCGAGGACACUAUGCUUAUGACUGCUACAAGUAUAGCCGCAGAAGGUCCAAGAGAUCAAGACUUUCCCUUCUUCCACUUACGAUUCUGAUGAGAAUCAUCGCUCAUUCCACCAGACUAAGAUAUCAACCUUCAUCCCCGACUUCUAGACUUCACAUAUCUCUCACGUGAUCAGCCAUCGCUGAAAUUACGACCCUAUCCCCUCGUGGUGACUUCACUCAGAGAGAAACUCGAUCUGCAACAAUUUCAGCCCAAAAUUCGACCAUCUCCUUCAGUUCACCUGAGACAAGCGUCAAAUAGAUCUCGAAACAACAAGCACAAUCGAUGAUCAUCCUUCUAUCAUGCACAGUAGAAUGGGUCAACACAUCAUUUCUGCUGCGUUCCAAUGAUUGAAUGAGAUGAUCGAUUGACAUACACGUCCAUUAUCUAGAAAUUCAUGACUGCUGUCUAGAUCACAUUCUAGAUCAAGGAGUAUCUCUCGCAGCCGGAGCCGUAGUAGGAGCCGUAGCCGCAGCCGAGGUGGAAGAUAUUCCCGCAGCCGAAGCCACAGUCGGAGCAG
RNAcentral lists this unclassified non-coding RNA (1116 nucleotides) under Haliotis rubra (blacklip abalone). RNAcentral's name for it is "serine/arginine-rich splicing factor 7-like, transcript variant X2". The record is from RNAcentral. Lineage: Eukaryota; Metazoa; Mollusca; Gastropoda; Lepetellida; Haliotidae.